Molecule: ribosomal RNA, 495 nt
Filed under: uncultured bacterium
Lineage: Bacteria
Description: partial 16S ribosomal RNA
Rfam family: Bacterial small subunit ribosomal RNA
Source: RNAcentral
UGAACGCUGGCGGCGUGCCUACUACAUGCACGUCGAGCGACCAGAUGAGGAGCUUGCUCCUCUGACGUUAGCGGCGGACGGGUGAGUAACACGUGGAUAACCUACCUAUAAGACUGGGAUAACUUCGGGAAACCGGAGCUAAUACCGGAUAAUAUAUUGAACCGCAUGGUUCAAUAGUGAAGGACGGUUUUGCUGUCACUUAUAGAUGGAUCCGCGCCGCAUUAGCUAGUUGGUAAGGUAACGGCUUACCAAGGCAACGAUGCGUAGCCGACCUGAGAGGGUGAUCGGCCACACUGGAACUGAGACACGGUCCAGACUCCUACGGGAGGCAGCAGUAGGGAAUCUUCCGCAAUGGGCGAAAGCCUGACGGAGCAACGCCGCGUGAGUGAUGAAGGUCUUCGGAUCGUAAAACUCUGUUAUUAGGGAAGAACAAAUGUGUAAGUAACUAUGCACGUCUUGACGGUACCUAAUCAGAAAGCCACGGCUAACUACGUG